This 1557-nucleotide ribosomal RNA is filed under the name Streptococcus gordonii. RNAcentral's name for it is "16S ribosomal RNA". It matches the Rfam family "Bacterial small subunit ribosomal RNA". Lineage: Bacteria; Bacillati; Bacillota; Bacilli; Lactobacillales; Streptococcaceae. The record is from RNAcentral. RNAcentral also lists the same sequence under 1 other name.
UUAAAUGAGAGUUUGAUCCUGGCUCAGGACGAACGCUGGCGGCGUGCCUAAUACAUGCAAGUAGAACGCACAGUAUAUACCGUAGCUUGCUACACCAUAGACUGUGAGUUGCGAACGGGUGAGUAACGCGUAGGUAACCUGCCUGGUAGCGGGGGAUAACUAUUGGAAACGAUAGCUAAUACCGCAUAAUAUUAAUUAUUGCAUGAUAAUUGAUUGAAAGAUGCAACUGCAUCACUACCAGAUGGACCUGCGUUGUAUUAGCUAGUAGGUGAGGUAACGGCUCACCUAGGCGACGAUACAUAGCCGACCUGAGAGGGUGAUCGGCCACACUGGGACUGAGACACGGCCCAGACUCCUACGGGAGGCAGCAGUAGGGAAUCUUCGGCAAUGGACGAAAGUCUGACCGAGCAACGCCGCGUGAGUGAAGAAGGUUUUCGGAUCGUAAAGCUCUGUUGUAAGAGAAGAACGGGUGUGAGAGUGGAAAGUUCACACUGUGACGGUAUCUUACCAGAAAGGGACGGCUAACUACGUGCCAGCAGCCGCGGUAAUACGUAGGUCCCGAGCGUUGUCCGGAUUUAUUGGGCGUAAAGCGAGCGCAGGCGGUUAGAUAAGUCUGAAGUUAAAGGCUGUGGCUUAACCAUAGUACGCUUUGGAAACUGUUUAACUUGAGUGCAGAAGGGGAGAGUGGAAUUCCAUGUGUAGCGGUGAAAUGCGUAGAUAUAUGGAGGAACACCGGUGGCGAAAGCGGCUCUCUGGUCUGUAACUGACGCUGAGGCUCGAAAGCGUGGGGAGCGAACAGGAUUAGAUACCCUGGUAGUCCACGCCGUAAACGAUGAGUGCUAGGUGUUAGGCCCUUUCCGGGGCUUAGUGCCGCAGCUAACGCAUUAAGCACUCCGCCUGGGGAGUACGACCGCAAGGUUGAAACUCAAAGGAAUUGACGGGGGCCCGCACAAGCGGUGGAGCAUGUGGUUUAAUUCGAAGCAACGCGAAGAACCUUACCAGGUCUUGACAUCCCGAUGCCCGCUCUAGAGAUAGAGUUUUACUUCGGUACAUCGGUGACAGGUGGUGCAUGGUUGUCGUCAGCUCGUGUCGUGAGAUGUUGGGUUAAGUCCCGCAACGAGCGCAACCCUUAUUGUUAGUUGCCAUCAUUCAGUUGGGCACUCUAGCGAGACUGCCGGUAAUAAACCGGAGGAAGGUGGGGAUGACGUCAAAUCAUCAUGCCCCUUAUGACCUGGGCUACACACGUGCUACAAUGGCUGGUACAACGAGUCGCAAGUCGGUGACGGCAAGCUAAUCUCUUAAAGCCAGUCUCAGUUCGGAUUGUAGGCUGCAACUCGCCUACAUGAAGUCGGAAUCGCUAGUAAUCGCGGAUCAGCACGCCGCGGUGAAUACGUUCCCGGGCCUUGUACACACCGCCCGUCACACCACGAGAGUUUGUAACACCCGAAGUCGGUGAGGUAACCUUUUAGGAGCCAGCCGCCUAAGGUGGGAUAGAUGAUUGGGGUGAAGUCGUAACAAGGUAGCCGUAUCGGAAGGUGCGGCUGGAUCACCUCCUUU